Molecule: ribosomal RNA, 251 nt
Filed under: Enterobacter hormaechei
Lineage: Bacteria; Pseudomonadati; Pseudomonadota; Gammaproteobacteria; Enterobacterales; Enterobacteriaceae
Also listed under: 2 other names
Description: partial 23S ribosomal RNA
Rfam family: Bacterial large subunit ribosomal RNA
Source: RNAcentral
AAUGGGUCAGCGACUUAUAUUCUGUAGCAAGGUUAACCGUAUAGGGGAGCCGAAGGGAAACCGAGUCUUAACUGGGCGUUAAGUUGCAGGGUAUAGACCCGAAACCCGGUGAUCUAGCCAUGGGCAGGUUGAAGGUUGGGUAACACUAACUGGAGGACCGAACCGACUAAUGUUGAAAAAUUAGCGGAUGACCUGUGGCUGGGGGUGAAAGGCCAAUCAAACCGGGAGAUAGCUGGUUCUCCCCGAAAGCU